AUCACCUGGGGAUCUUGUCAAAUGUAGAUUUUGAUUCAGCAGGUAUAAGGUGAUUCUACAUUUCUAACAAGCUCCUAGGUGAUGCUGA
MicroRNA precursor from Chlorocebus sabaeus (green monkey), 88 nucleotides. It matches the Rfam family "mir-544 microRNA precursor family". The record is from Rfam. Lineage: Eukaryota; Metazoa; Chordata; Mammalia; Primates; Cercopithecidae.